RNAcentral lists this ribosomal RNA (508 nucleotides) under uncultured soil bacterium. Its description in RNAcentral is "bacterial SSU rRNA". It matches the Rfam family "Bacterial small subunit ribosomal RNA", at positions 26 to 524 of the family's 1533-position model. The record is from RNAcentral.
AGAGUGAACGCUGGCGGUAGGCCUAACACAUGCAAGUCGAACGGCAGCACAGUGGUAGCAAUACCAUGGGUGGCGAGUGGCGGACGGGUGAGGAAUACAUCGGAAUCUACCUUUUCGUGGGGGAUAACGUAGGGAAACUUACGCUAAUACCGCAUACGCCCUUUGGGGGAAAGCCGGGGAUCGCAAGACCUGGCGCGGAUAGAUGAGCCGAUGUCGGAUUAGCUAGUUGGUGAGGUAAUGGCUCACCAAGGCGACGAUCCGUAGCUGGUCUGAGAGGAUGAUCAGCCACACUGGAACUGAGACACGGUCCAGACUCCUACGGGAGGCAGCAGUGGGGAAUAUUGGACAAUGGGCGCAAGCCUGAUCCAGCCAUACCGCGUGGGUGAAGAAGGCCUUCGGUUGUAAAGUCCCUUUUGUUAGGGAAAGAAAGCAAUCGGUUAAUACCCGGUUGUUCUGACGGUACCCAAAGAAUAAGCACGCUAACUUCGUGCCAGCAGCCGACGGUAAU